Gossypium raimondii (Peruvian cotton) is the source of this 134-nucleotide non-coding RNA. Lineage: Eukaryota; Viridiplantae; Streptophyta; Magnoliopsida; Malvales; Malvaceae. The record is from Rfam.
UGUUAAAAAUUUCGUUCAUCUCUACUAUUAAAAAUUCUCAUAGCUGACAAAAUAACCAAAUAAUGACAUGUUUUUCUCAUGUUGACGUACAAUGACUAGUUUUUAAAAGUAGAAAUGGAUGAAACUUUUUAACA